UUUGCGGGGAUUUUUUGGUUUCCGGGGGGGGUUUUUACCGGGGGGUCUUUUUUGGGGGAUUCCUUGCCCCGGGCAGAGGGGAGAUUUUGGGGAACAGCAGGUUGUGGAGGUUCCUCAAGUUUUUGGGGGACCGGCCCCUUACAAUGUCAGGGGGACAAGGAAUUUCCGGGGGGUUUUGCGUUUCCUGUUGGAUCAAAAGGGGGGGGGAAACCCCGGAUUCACGUGGACCCCACUUGGGAACGAGUAUUGCAAUUAUGGUCGCGCAACGAGGAAUUUCUCGUAGGCGCAGCUCAUCAAACGGUGCCGAUUACGUCCCUGCCAUUUGUACACACCGCCCGUCGUUGUUUCCGAUGAUGGUGCAAUACAGGUGAUCGGACCGUCGCGUGUCUCACGUGACCGAAAGUUCACCGAUAUUGCUUCAAUAGAGGAAGCAAAAGUCGUAACAAGGUAGCUGUAGGUGAACCUGCAGCUGGAUCAUUU
RNAcentral lists this non-coding RNA (480 nucleotides) under Trypanosoma congolense IL3000. Its description in RNAcentral is "Eukaryotic small subunit ribosomal RNA". It matches the Rfam family "Eukaryotic small subunit ribosomal RNA", at positions 1361 to 1831 of the family's 1831-position model. Lineage: Eukaryota; Euglenozoa; Kinetoplastea; Trypanosomatida; Trypanosomatidae. The record is from Rfam by way of RNAcentral.